RNAcentral lists this ribosomal RNA (214 nucleotides) under Limosilactobacillus coleohominis. RNAcentral describes it as "partial 16S ribosomal RNA". It matches the Rfam family "Bacterial small subunit ribosomal RNA", at positions 1 to 183 of the family's 1533-position model. Lineage: Bacteria; Bacillati; Bacillota; Bacilli; Lactobacillales; Lactobacillaceae. The record is from RNAcentral.
UUUAUAUGAGAGUUUGAUCCUGGCUCAGGAUGAACGCCGGCGGUGUGCCUAAUACAUGCAAGUCGAACGCGUUGGCCCGACUGAUUGAUGAUGCUUGCAUCUGAUUGACGACGGUUUACCAACGAGUGGCGGACGGGUGAGUAACACGUAGGCAACCUGCCCAGAAGCGGGGGACAACAUUUGGAAACAAGUGCUAAUACCGCAUAACAACGAA